RNAcentral lists this ribosomal RNA (428 nucleotides) under uncultured Geobacillus sp. Its description in RNAcentral is "bacterial SSU rRNA". It matches the Rfam family "Bacterial small subunit ribosomal RNA", at positions 355 to 774 of the family's 1533-position model. The record is from RNAcentral. Lineage: Bacteria; Bacillati; Bacillota; Bacilli; Caryophanales; Anoxybacillaceae.
UAGGGAAUCUUCCGCAAUGGACGAAAGUCUGACGGAGCGACGCCGCGUGAGCGAAGAAGGUCUUCGGAUCGUAAAGCUCUGUUGUUAGGGAAGAAGAAGUACCGUUCGAAUAGGGCGGUACGGUGACGGUACCUAACGAGAAAGCCCCGGCUAACUACGUGCCAGCAGCCGCGGUAAUACGUAGGGGGCGAGCGUUGUCCGGAAUUAUUGGGCGUAAAGCGCGCGCAGGCGGUCCCUUAAGUCUGAUGUGAAAGCCCACGGCUCAACCGUGGAGGGCCAUUGGAAACUGGGGGACUUGAGUGCAGAAGAGGAGAGCGGAAUUCCACGUGUAGCGGUGAAAUGCGUAGAGAUGUGGAGGAACACCAGUGGCGAAGGCGGCUCUCUGGUCUGUAACUGACGCUGAGGCGCGAAAGCGUGGGGAGCAAACA